AGAGUUUGAUCCUGGCUCAGAAUGAACGCUGGCGGCGUGCUUAACACAUGCAAGUCGAACGAGAAAGCUUUAGCUUGCUAGAGCGAGUAAAGUGGCGCACGGGUGAGUAACGCGUGGGUAAUCUACCCUUGAAUUUGGGAUAACACUUCGAAAGGGGUGCUAAUACCGGAUAACAUCUUUUUUGCUGAGGCAGGAAAGAUCAAAGAUAGCCUCUUCUUGAAAGCUAUUGUUUGAGGAUGAGCCCGCGUACCAUUAGCUUGUUGGUGGGGUAAAGGCCUACCAAGGCGACGAUGGUUAGCUGGUCUGAGAGGAUGAUCAGCCACACUGGAACUGGAACACGGUCCAGACUCCUACGGGAGGCAGCAGUGAGGAAUUUUGCGCAAUGGGGGAAACCCUGACGCAGCAACGCCGCGUGAGUGAUGAAGGAUUUCGGUUCGUAAAGCUCUGUCAAGUGGGAAGAAGUUAUCAUAAGUUAAUAGCUUAUGGUAUUGACGUACCACUGAAGAAGCACCGCUAACU
Molecule: ribosomal RNA, 519 nt
Filed under: uncultured bacterium
Lineage: Bacteria
Description: bacterial SSU rRNA
Rfam family: Bacterial small subunit ribosomal RNA
Source: RNAcentral